Molecule: ribosomal RNA, 267 nt
Filed under: uncultured soil bacterium
Lineage: Bacteria
Description: partial 16S ribosomal RNA
Rfam family: Bacterial small subunit ribosomal RNA
Source: RNAcentral
AGGACGAACGCUGGCGGCGUGCCUAAUGCGUGCAAGUCGCACGCAGGGAGCUUGCUCCCUGAGUGGCGCACGGCUGAGGAUCACGUGGACAUGCCUCCUUGUGGGGACAACCCCGCGAAAGCGGGGCUAAUCCCGCAUACGCUCGGCAACGAGGAAAGCGGCAACGCGCAGGGAGAGUCGGCCCGCGGCCCAUCGAGGUUGGUUGGUGGGGUAAUGGACCUACCGAGCCGGUGACGGGUAGCUGGUCUGGUGAGGACAGACAGCCAG